RNAcentral lists this unclassified non-coding RNA (1787 nucleotides) under Leishmania donovani. RNAcentral's name for it is "gene:LdHU3.33.1790(CDS-product:hypothetical_prote in_conserved)". Lineage: Eukaryota; Euglenozoa; Kinetoplastea; Trypanosomatida; Trypanosomatidae. The record is from RNAcentral.
CUGUGUGUGUGUGUGUGUGUGUGUGUGUGUUCGCGCAUACGCAUUCGUGGCCACCAACCACCUCCUCCACCACCCCCCCUCUCUCUUACUCUAACUGGAAUCAACUUUGCGGGGGCUGCCCAUCUCGGCCACCACCACCCCUUUCAACACGAAAUUCUUUUCUUGUGGCUGUUCGCUUCUGUAGGUGAAAGGCGUACUCUUUGGCGGCGCCACACUACCCCGCACGUGGCUCUUAAUCGGCUGCUGCACAGCGUGUCUUGUGGAGCAGUUUCCAGGGGCUGGGCAUCGCACGCUUCCCUCCUUGUUUUCCUGUCGCAUAGAAGAAUAGUAAAAAUGAGCACUCCUGGAACCAACUCGUCUGCCUCUGCGAAGGCGUCAAGUCCUAUCGUGCACCGAGAUCGCAGAGGGGCGUCAGCGGGCGAUGGCAAACCACUUUCCGCAAAUGAUCCGCCGCAGCAAUCGGCGGCGUUUGGGUCUGUCUCGCCGCUGCCGCCGAAGCUGAGCACUGCAGCUUCUGCUGCCACAACCGCUUCGGCACCCGCCUCGCCAUCUCCUGAAAUGGACAACCUGGAGUGUCAGUCGAAGGACUUCCUCAUCCAACGCGUGCAAGCGCUGGAGCGGCAGCUGAAGAUACGCAACAGCGACUGCGCGCGCCUGCUAGAGGAGCGCCAGCAACUGCUUCCGCUCAAAGAGAAGUGCGAGUCGCAGAGAGAGAUGAUAUUGGCGCUGCGCGAUCAACUGAACUUGGCACAGGCACAACACGAGUCCGUCAUCGACGCAUUGGAGGAGAUGAAGCGCCAGCAGCGCGACAAAGAGCACCGCGAGCGCGUGGCCCACGCUGAGCGAGUCAUCUAUGGCGCUAGUGCCGCCCCGAAGGCUACAGCUGGCGGCACGAAUAGGCCCGAAACCUCUAGCUCGCCCGCCACCAACGCGGCGCCCAGCUACAAGCCCGCUUCGGCGCUGAGAGCCAACAACCCGGCGCGGCGUGCUCCUGGGGGGACGGUGGUAAACACCUCGUCCGGGCCACAAAUAAUUUACGACAGCUCCGAUAUCUCCUCCGUUGGCUUCACCAAGAAUGCAAAGCUGCCGUACGACUUCCUGGGUGGGCCUGGAGCGCAGCUACAGUAUCUCGCUCCGUCCCGCGGAAGCGCGGGCAAGGAGGCUGGAGAGCAGCCGGAAGGCGGCUUUGACGCUUCGGAUGAUGCGCAGGUGCGCCGCACCAUGGCGGCGGCGGCGGAGGCGAUUGAGUUGGAUGCCAAGCACGCAGAGAUGGAGGAAAAGGAGCACAGGGCACUACUGGAGCGCCUAAAGGCGCUGCGUGAAGGACACAAGUAAUGGACGCCACCACCCACUUCCUCUCGCUCCCAACCGCUAGAGGAUCCAGCAGCACCUCCGUCAACCCACCCUUCCCCUUGCAGCAAUCAAGCAGGAGAAGCCCACCACAGCCCGCUGUGCUUUCGGUGUUCAGGGCGAGUACACCCACACUCAUGACGUUAGUCGGCUUAGCUGUACCUGAUUGUCUGCUGCCUCGCUUUUAGGCAACGGAAGUGACAAAAGAGAGAGGAGAGAGUCGAUAGACUGUGUACAACAGGGGAUUAUGGAAAGGUGAAAGGGAGUGGUGCAAGCUGAGCGCCCCACAUCUUCGAAGCGCUUCGCCAUUUCGUUUUGUUGCUCGCAGCAGUUGCCGCCCUGGUGUCUCUCUCUAUGCCCCUGCGCUCUUUCUUCGUUCUUCCACCUCUUCUCCUUCGCCCGCUUCAUCAAAUCCCUUGUGCGCGAUGAGCUCGUAG